ACACAUGCAAGUCGAGGGGCAGCAUUUCAGUUUGCUUGCAAACUGGAGAUGGCGACCGGCGCACGGGUGAGUAACACGUAUCCAACCUGCCGAUAACUCGGGGAUAGCCUUUCGAAAGAAAGAUUAAUACCCGAUGGUAUAAUCAGACCGCAUGGUCUUGUUAUUAAAGAAUUUCGGUUAUCGAUGGGGAUGCGUUCCAUUAGGCAGUUGGUGAGGUAACGGCUCACCAAACCUUCGAUGGAUAGGGGUUCUGAGAGGAAGGUCCCCCACAUUGGAACUGAGACACGGUCCAAACUCCUACGGGAGGCAGCAGUGAGGAAUAUUGGUCAAUGGGCGCAGGCCUGAACCAGCCAAGUAGCGUGAAGGAUGACUGCCCUAUGGGUUGUAAACUUCUUUUAUAUGGGAAUAAAGUUUUCCACGUGUGGAAUUUUGUAUGUACCAUAUGAAUAAGGAUCGGCUAACUCCGUGCCAGCAGCCGCGGUAAUACGGAGGAUCCGAGCGUUAUCCGGAUUUAUUGGGUUUAAAGGGAGCGUAGGUGGACAGUUAAGUCAGUUGUGAAAGUUUGCGGCUCAACCGUAAAAUUGCAGUUGAUACUGGCUGUCUUGAGUACAGUAGAGGUGGGCGGAAUUCGUGGUGUAGCGGUGAAAUGCUUAGAUAUCACGAAGAACUCCGAUUGCGAAGGCAGCUCACUGGACUGCAACUGACACUGAUGCUCGAAAGUGUGGGUAUCAAACAGGAUUAGAUACCCUGGUAGUCCACACAGUAAACGAUGAAUACUCGCUGUUUGCGAUAUACAGUAAGCGGCCAAGCGAAAGCAUUAAGUAUUCCACCUGGGGAGUACGCCGGCAACGGUGAAACUCAAAGGAAUUGACGGGGGCCCGCACAAGCGGAGGAACAUGUGGUUUAAUUCGAUGAUACGCGAGGAACCUUACCCGGGCUUAAAUUGCAUUUGAAUAUAUUGGAAACAGUAUAGCCGUAAGGCAAAUGUGAAGGUGCUGCAUGGUUGUCGUCAGCUCGUGCCGUGAGGUGUCGGCUUAAGUGCCAUAACGAGCGCAACCCUUAUCUUUAGUUACUAACAGGUCAUGCUGAGGACUCUAGAGAGACUGCCGUCGUAAGAUGUGAGGAAGGUGGGGAUGACGUCAAAUCAGCACGGCCCUUACGUCCGGGGCUACACACGUGUUACAAUGGGGGGUACAGAAGGCAGCUACCUGGUGACAGGAUGCUAAUCCCAAAAGCCUCUCUCAGUUCGGAUCGAAGUCUGCAACCCGACUUCGUGAAGCUGGAUUCGCUAGUAAUCGCGCAUCAGCCAUGGCGCGGUGAAUACGUUCCCGGGCCUUGUACACACCGCCCGUCAAGCCAUGAAAGCCGGGGGUACCUGAAGUACGUAACCGCAAGGAGCGUCCUAGGGUAAAACUGGUAAUUGGGGCUAAG
This 1431-nucleotide ribosomal RNA is filed under the name uncultured organism. Its description in RNAcentral is "16S ribosomal RNA". It matches the Rfam family "Bacterial small subunit ribosomal RNA". The record is from RNAcentral.